UACGGAGGGUGCGAGCGUUGUCCGGAAUCACUGGGCGUAAAGGGCGCGUAGGCGGCCUGAUAAGUCGGGGGUGAAAUCCUGCGGCUUAACCGCAGGGCUGCCUUCUAAACUGUCAGGCUAGAGCACGGUAGAGGCAGAUGGAAUUCCCGGUGUAGCGGUGGAAUGCGUAGAGAUCGGGAAGAACAUCAGUGGCGAAGGCGGUCUGCUGGGCCGUUGCUGACGCUGAGGCGCGACAGCGUGGGGAGCAAACAGG
RNAcentral lists this ribosomal RNA (253 nucleotides) under uncultured bacterium. RNAcentral describes it as "partial 16S ribosomal RNA". It matches the Rfam family "Bacterial small subunit ribosomal RNA", at positions 524 to 776 of the family's 1533-position model. The record is from RNAcentral.